Molecule: long non-coding RNA, 1170 nt
Organism: Dama dama (fallow deer)
Lineage: Eukaryota; Metazoa; Chordata; Mammalia; Artiodactyla; Cervidae
Exons: 3
Source: RefSeq, a predicted model, not a curated record
GUCUUAGCCCAUCCAGGGCUGGGUGGAAGCAGUGGUUGUCCUGGUAACACAAGCUCCUGGGUCGCAGUUAGGCCUGCCUGGCUGGGAGCCUAUAAGCCCAGCGAGCCCUGAGGGUAGGGCGUCCCCCUGCUCCUGACUUGCAUCUGGGACGGGCCAGUCCUUGAGCUUCUAUCCCCUCUGUCCAGCCUCUGGGGGCCCUAUGGGAACCCCCAAGUGGUUCUUUCAACUCUGAGAAGGCUGCCACCCUUACAGAAGUUCCUGGCCGAAGGGCAGAGGAAACCGGCUCAGCCAGAAGGGUUCCCCUGGGCCUCCGCUGGGUAUCCUGUCUUUUCGCUCUGCACGCCCCUCCCUCUGGGGGGCAGGCUUGGCGCUACAAUGGAAGCGAGAAUUCCUUGCCUCUUCCUAAAUCCGCUUCCCCGGGGUCCUCAGCUCCCCAAAGGGCCCGGGUCUGCUUGGCCAGCCCAUCCCCGCGCACGCGCCUGGGAGGAGAGAGAGGGAGCGCCAUGUACCAGGGUGCAGACCAGUCGUCUGCCCUGGGCUCACCUGUGUGGGAGUCCGUCGGCCCAGUAGGUCGGCGGCCUCCCUCCUUCCCGGGAUGGGAAGAUACCGAGAUGAACUUCAAGUCCCGACUGCAGAGGGUGAUCCUGCUCCAGACUUGACCAGUUUAAACCUUCAAAAGACAGAUGCCGCCGCCGCCGCCGCCGCCGCUGCCGCCGCCUUCCACAGGCUCCGCUGUCUCCACGGAAACCUCACUUCCGCUUCCGAAUGCGCCGCGUGCUGCCCCCUCUGAUUGGCUGCUUCUCUCGUCGGUCCGCGGGGUGGGACCAACAGCCGCCCUCAGAUGCUAGGUACCCCAGCAUGCACCGCAAGACGUCAGCUCCCAGCAGGCCAUGCUCUAUCCAGCUCGGGCAGCUCCCACCAGGGAAAGUGGUUGCUGUCCCCUUCGCCUGGUUUCUUUGGCAUGUAUGGCGGCUCUGAUGUCCCCGACUCCUAGAGGUCAGGCUCAGCGGACCUGCCCAAGCACCGGGUACCUCCCCCAAACCAGCACGUUAGGGCCUGACUCCAGGCCGGACUGGUCAGUGCCCAUCUGGCUUCUAUCCCCAUACCUUUUUUUGCCAUCCCCAGUUGUGGGCAUGUGGAGGAGAAACUGAACCUAAAUAAAAUUAAGGA